UCGUGAAUCAGAAUGUCACGGUGAAUACGUUCCCGGGCCUUGUACACACCGCCCGUCACACCAUGGGAGUGGGUUGCUCCAGAAGUAGAUAGCCUAACCUUCGGGGGGGCGUUUACCACGGAGUGAUUCAUGACUGGGGUGAAGUCGUAACAAGGUAGCCCUAGGGGAACCUGGGGCUGGAUCACCUCCUUAAACGA
RNAcentral lists this ribosomal RNA (197 nucleotides) under Thalassolituus sp. HI0120. RNAcentral's name for it is "partial 16S ribosomal RNA". It matches the Rfam family "Bacterial small subunit ribosomal RNA", at positions 1342 to 1533 of the family's 1533-position model. The record is from RNAcentral. Lineage: Bacteria; Pseudomonadati; Pseudomonadota; Gammaproteobacteria; Oceanospirillales; Oceanospirillaceae.